GCUGUGUCUGUCGCUGCAGUUGUGGUCUGGGUUCUAAUGGCAUGAAGACACAUUUCGGGAUGGGAGUCGGUGGUAGAUUCAGCCGUUGCAAGAAUUGAGGGAUUUCCUCGGGCCAUCUGGCUGAGACCCAUUCAUUAUUAUGGCGGACCGCAAUGCUAAAUGGGUAACCCCAUCUAUACUGCAUGUUUUUCUCUCGUAGGAUGGUGGCCCGUCUGGCUUCCAAG
Non-coding RNA from Pelobates cultripes (western spadefoot toad), 224 nucleotides. The record is from the annotation of a GenBank genome assembly. Lineage: Eukaryota; Metazoa; Chordata; Amphibia; Anura; Pelobatidae.